AGCGAACGCUGGCGGCAGGCUUAACACAUGCAAGUCGAGCGGGCAUCCUUGUGGUGUCAGCGGCAGACGGGUGAGUAACGCGUGGGAACGUGCCCUUCGGUUCGGAAUAACUCAGGGAAACUUGAGCUAAUACCGGAUACGUGCGAGAGCAGAAAGGUUUAUCUGCCGAAGGAUCGGCCCGCGUCUGAUUAGCUAGUUGGUGAGGUUACGGCUCACCAAGGCGACGAUCAGUAGCUGGUCUGAGAGGAUGAUCAGCCACACUGGGACUGAGACACGGCCCAGACUCCUACGGGAGGCAGCAGUGGGGAAUAUUGGACAAUGGGGGCAACCCUGAUCCAGCCAUGUCGCGUGAGUGAUGACGGCCUUAGGGUUGUAAAGCUCUUUUCUCCGGGACGAUAAUGACGGUACCGGAGGAAUAAGCCCCGGCUAACUUCGUG
Molecule: ribosomal RNA, 437 nt
Filed under: uncultured bacterium
Lineage: Bacteria
Description: partial 16S ribosomal RNA
Rfam family: Bacterial small subunit ribosomal RNA
Source: RNAcentral